RNAcentral lists this long non-coding RNA (362 nucleotides) under Nicotiana benthamiana. RNAcentral's name for it is "long non-coding RNA (NBEN_LNC039700)". Lineage: Eukaryota; Viridiplantae; Streptophyta; Magnoliopsida; Solanales; Solanaceae. The record is from RNAcentral.
UGAUCUUUUCCUUUUGACUUUUCAGUAGUUUCACCUCUGAAUUUUUUCAUGGUUUGUUGAUCCUCUCUCUUGAUUCUGCAUUUGUUUCACCUCUGAGGUACUGAAUGGUCUUGUUAGAUGCUUAUAUUUGUGGAUCCUACCUGUGUUAUAUCAUGAUUCUGAGUAGGUGUUUGUUUUAAGAGUUUCAUACCAGUCAUAUUUCUUUCCUAGUGAUGGUGAUCUUCAGUAUUUGCACGUGUUAGGAUAAAUUGCUUUCCUGAAUAUUGUAACUACUUAUAUUAGCUUUGUUUAAAUUUCCUGGUUUUUACUUCUAAGUUUUUUACUAAGUGUUAUAGUUUGGCCAUUGUUCCUGCAUAGUCAAU